AGCUCAGUUGGUUAGAGCGCCUGAUUGUGGUUCAGGAGGUCGGCGGUUCGAGACCGCUCU
This 60-nucleotide transfer RNA is filed under the name Flavobacteriaceae bacterium. RNAcentral's name for it is "tRNA-His". It matches the Rfam family "tRNA", at positions 9 to 63 of the family's 71-position model. From Rfam's summary of the family: Transfer RNA (tRNA) molecules are approximately 80 nucleotides in length. Their secondary structure includes four short double-helical elements and three loops (D, anti-codon, and T loops). The record is from RNAcentral. RNAcentral also lists the same sequence under 1 other name. Lineage: Bacteria; Pseudomonadati; Bacteroidota; Flavobacteriia; Flavobacteriales; Flavobacteriaceae.